This 253-nucleotide ribosomal RNA is filed under the name uncultured bacterium. RNAcentral's name for it is "partial 16S ribosomal RNA". It matches the Rfam family "Bacterial small subunit ribosomal RNA", at positions 524 to 776 of the family's 1533-position model. The record is from RNAcentral.
UACGUAGGUGGCAAGCGUUGUCCGGAUUUAUUGGGCGUAAAGGGAACGCAGGCGGUCUUUUAAGUCUGAUGUGAAAGCCUUCGGCUUAACCGGAGUAGUGCAUUGGAAACUGGAAGACUUGAGUGGAGAAGAGGAGAGUGGAACUCCAUGUGUAGCGGUGAAAUGCGUAGAUAUAUGGAAGAACACUAGUGGCGAAAGCGGCUCUCUGGUCUGUAACUGACGCUGAGGUUCGAAAGCGUGGGUAGCAAACAGG